CUGUGGCCCAAUUAUGGUUGUGCUCUACGGCACGAAACGUUAGUGUCCAUAACUCCGCCGCAACUAUUCGACUGAGAAAGACGAAAGGAAAAGAAAAAAUGGCAAAAGCGAAGCAGCAGAAAUCAUCUAAGCCUAAGAAACAACCGCGUCAGGUGGAGAAGAAGAAGAAGAAGGAAGGAAAGGAUUGUGAUCUGUCACAGUUCCGUGCUCAACUUGACUCCUUAGGUCUUAAGAUCAUCCAAGUAACCGCCGACGGUAAUUGCUUCUUCAGGUCACUCGCGGAUCAAUUAGAAGGCAACGAGGAUGAACACAGCAAGUACCGUAGCAUGGUUGUACAGUACAUAGUGAAGAAUCGUGAAAUGUUUGAGCCUUUUAUCGAAGACGAUGUUCCGUUUGAGGAUUACUGUAAAACAAUGGAUGAUGAUGGGACUUGGGCUGGGAAUAUGGAGUUACAAGCUGCUUCUCUUGUCACACGCAGUAACAUUUGUAUCCACAGGAGUAUGUCACCUCGUUGGUAUAUACGCAACUUUGAAGAUGCUAGAACCCGCAUGAUCCAUCUGUCUUACCAUGAUGGGGAACAUUAUAAUAGUGUGCGUUCCAAGGAAGAUGCUUGUGGUGGACCCGCUAGGCCUGUUGUGAUUGAGGCUGAUGCUAAAGUAUCAGCAGCAUCUAAACAAGCGAAAGCCACUGAGGGAAAGUCCAAGAACAGAAGUGAUAAGUGUGAUGUGGAUGCUGGGGCUGUCAAAGUAGUCAUGUUGGGUAGUUGUUGUAACAAUGCUGAGAAAGCUGAACAGGUUCUAGUACAAGUAAACGGUGAUGUGGAUGCUGCGAUAGAAUUUUUGAUAGCAGAACAAGGAAUGGAGUCAAUGAUUGAAAAUGAUUCAGAAACUGCUUCUGCGGCAAUGGAAAGCACCGAGCAACUCAGAGAAGCAAUUGAGACGAUCAGUGAGGAUGAAUCAGGCAGCUGCAGUAGUAUAGAGACAGUCCUUGCCAAGUGCAGCUUGGAUGAUAAGAAGAUCCCGAGGAAUAAAUCAUGUCCAUGUGGUUCGAAGAAGAAAUACAAGUCCUGCUGCGGAACAGCAGCUGGGAGAUCCUCUGUUAAACUGUUAGUGAGCCAAACAAUGGAGUCGAAGAAGGGGAGAAAGAAUCUGAGGAGAGGAACAUCGAAUGAAGUUGAAGCAAAUGCACCAGAUGUGGGUGCUCUUUGUAUAUAAUGAAGUCUCACUCUCACACACACAGAAAAACAUAAAGGGGGAAAGAAGAUGAUCUUUUAAGCAUGGAUUCAGUAUUUGACAUAACAGCUUGCUCAGAGUCAAAGAAACUUUUUAAGAGGAUAGGCGGAAGAAGAGGUGGUGGAGAUGACAUGCGCAUAUCAAUAUAAUUAUUGUUUGUCUCUUCUCUAAUAAAUAUUUUUGUCUACGAAUAUAUACCCUGUGUAUGCUAAAUUAUUUUAAUCAGAUUCUGAUAAAUUUAUACGAAAGAUACUAUCGACUUCCUGUCUGGAUAGACAACAUAAAGACUUUUUUCUUUUUUGAUAGAAACUAUUGGUUGA
RNA transcript from Raphanus sativus (radish), 1552 nucleotides. It is a transcript of the gene named OVARIAN TUMOR DOMAIN-containing deubiquitinating enzyme 7, with no coding region annotated. NCBI's taxonomy places the organism in Eukaryota, Viridiplantae, Streptophyta, Magnoliopsida, Brassicales, Brassicaceae. The record is from RefSeq and is a predicted model, not a curated record. The transcript is spliced from 12 exons.